GUUGAAUCUGUUUACCUGGAAAAACUUAGAAAAUUGAAUAAGUCAAGAAUUUGACUAUGCUCAUCACCCAAAACCAGGUUUUUCUAAUUGCUUUUUCACCUGGGUUUGUGGCAAUGCCAGUUAUGCGACCACGAAAAAUGCGCGCGGCACUUUUUUUGGACACUGAAGGUGGUAACAUUUGAUGUUGUCAUAUAUUGCCAUCCUCUUAUUGUAGCAUAACUUAACUUAUUUUAGUGAAUUUGUUCACUAUAUGCUUGUAAUAUCUAAGAUUUUUUCAUGGCAUUAUAUGAUAAAUUUAAGUUCUGUUUUCUUUUAUUUAUAGGUGAUAGUAUCUAUUCACUCCAGUGUUGGUAUCAAAUUUUGGUCAAGUUUCAAUUAUUAUUUCACAUUCCUUUAUUCAAAUAUCCAAAUAAAUGGAAUAUGACAUCAAGCCGGAGGACUAGAUCCUGUUUUCAAACUUGUUUUUUGUAAAAAUAGAAAAUAACAACUUAUUCUGUGUUGUUCUAAUAAAAACCAUUGUUUUUGAUAUGCAUAUAUUUUAAUUUUAUUCUUUGUUAAAAUGUGCACCUGAAAUACUGAAAUCUUUCAGAUCAGCUAACAAUACCUUUAUAACUUAUAUAGCCAAGUGUUCUAUCUAUUUUUGUUCAGAUUAAACAAAUAAUGGGUAAAAUAUUAGAUAAGAUUUUUUCAAAAAAUAUGAGCUUGCCUGUUUUCAAAGCAUAAAAAGCAAUAAAAUAAAGCAAAAGUACUUAUUUUUAUUUUAAUACCUUUGGAAUGCACAGCUUAAUGUUUUUUUACUAAAUAUUACAAAGUUUUCGUUCAUUAAAAUGUUGUUUUAUCAGCUUUAAAACCAGAUAAAUCCACGAAACACUCCUAAUAUACGUCGCCAUAUUGAUUUUCUGCGCGCAUGCUCAGACAAAUUGCCUACCUGUUGUUGAAUUCUUCUUUGGAGGUUUAAAUUCUUCAAUAAGAUAUGAUAAUAUAUUUUUUGACAGGUCCGGGGUGGGCAAAAAAAUGAAAAUUUUUUGACAGGUCCGGGGUGGGCGAAAAAAUGAAAAUUUUUGACAGGUCCGGGGUGGGCAAAAAAAUGAAAAUUUUUUGACAGGUCCGGGGUAGGCAAAAAAAUAAAAAAAUUUUGACAGGUCCGGGGUGGGCAAAAAAAUGAAAAUUUUUUGACAGGUCCGGGGUGAGCAAAAAAAUGAAAAUUUUUUGACGGGUCCGGGGUGGGCAAAAAAAAAAAAUUUUUUUGGCAAUGUAUCUUCCACUUAAUUCAAACAAGGAUUCUAUUUUGUAAAACUUGUUUCAACCUUUCAAGCGAAGGCCCUUCGACUUUGUCUGGAAAUUAAUAGUAGACGAAGACCGUUCAAAGUUAUAUUAUGCUUUGCACCUGUAUGGCUGUACUACAUUUAUAAAUAUUGCAGUAUUUAAAUAUAAUAAAUGACUUAGGAAACUAGUAAAUAGACCCCUUCCCGUGUUAUACACGUUGACAGGCAAAUGUAUUAAUUUUAAAAGCUUCAAAGAAAGCUUCGUAUUAUUAUGGUGUAAACACAAUGGGGAAUGUAUUAUUUUAUGUAAUCGUAAUUUUCAGCCAGCAAAAUAUAAACAAGGCAAGGACAGCCAAGGUUUUAUACUCUAUACUUGGAC
RNAcentral lists this long non-coding RNA (1644 nucleotides) under Paramuricea clavata. The record is from RNAcentral. Lineage: Eukaryota; Metazoa; Cnidaria; Anthozoa; Malacalcyonacea; Plexauridae.